This 1454-nucleotide unclassified non-coding RNA is filed under the name Leishmania donovani. Its description in RNAcentral is "gene:unknown". Lineage: Eukaryota; Euglenozoa; Kinetoplastea; Trypanosomatida; Trypanosomatidae. The record is from RNAcentral.
CGGCGAACGUAGCCCCCUCCACUUACAAGCUGUGGUUUUUGAACACACGCAGGAACGCAUGGUUAGCGGAUGUUCAUCUCCACGACACGCUCACUUACACGCAAAUAGAAAAAAAAUGAGUGCGUGCUUUCACGACCAGCUUGACUGGUUUCCGAAAGAGUGCUAAACCAUGAAGAUCGAGGGAACCGCACUCGCGAAUUUCCGGAGCAUACGCCGAGAUAAGUUGUUUCCCUGAAAACGCUUUCACACAUUUGCACCUAACUUAGGGUGCCAAUCACCUGCUUUUUCGUCUGUUCUCUUUUUCUCCCCCUAGACGUUUGACUUCACAAGACCCUGCACGCUCUUAUCUCUUCCCCUACACUACAAGCGAACACAACGUCGACACACGCACUCCCAAUGUGUCAGGGAGGGGUGCGAGAUAGUGGCAGCGCAUGCCGGGUUUUCUUCUCGAAUUUUUCUUUUUUUCUUCGCCGUUUUUGAGAACGAUUUUUUUAUAUUGUUGUUUCGCCGCCCCUUUUCGCUUUCCUCUCCCUCGUCUCUGUUCCCCUUGCUCGUUACCGUGGAUCGUGAGGACCCUUAACCUUUCCCUUCACCUCCACCGUUUCGGUCAGGUGUACUCGACUGCGCCGCCAUGCUGUCUCUCUUUUUUGUUUUUCUCUUCUCAACUGGUCAGCUGACUUAUGCUUCUUCACUUCCGUCAUUCUUCGGAUAUGCUUUUUUUUUUCGUUUGUGCUGUUCUUCUCGCUUUUCCGGGAUUUUUGACACAAAUAUACAUCCUGUACGCUGCUUCAAACUUUUCAUCUUGACUGUUUUAUGCUCUUGUCUUCCAGUACUCGUUUAGCGUCCAGGAUGUUGUGUUCGCGCAUGAGAAUCCCUCCUAUUCGCCUUCUAAUGUCUCGUUAAGGGGCCUGCGACCCUGCUCGCCAAGGUUUCCUGCUCCUUCUCACAUGCUGAUCCCGCAUGCACACCGGAUGGUUAGUGGGGACGUCAAAUCGCACGUCUUCCGCAUUUUCUUCUUGUGCGUCCCGUUACGAUUAUGACGUUUCUCUCACGGACCUCCGGCAAAACAUGAACACCAACAAGAGCCGAAGAAACGUCGCCUCGUUUUUCAAUUUCUCAUAAACAGCUCUGCAAGGGCCUCGAGCAGAGGGAAAAGAAAAGCGCUCGCCAGAGCAAGCAGAGACGUUCACGGAUGCCGAGUGGCACAACGUGUUUCCUGAAAGGCUCGUGGCUUCAUCCGAACUAUUCCUUUCUCCACACCGCUUCUUGCAGAUGGAGGGGAGGCGGCUCGACGUGGACCUAACUGCGAAGCUUCGCGCCGUAUGCUUGGGACGAAUGAGUUUUUCUUUUUUUUUACGCCUUCCAUAUACGUUUUCUACAUCUACCCCUGCCUUUCAACUCCGCACAUCUACUCUGCCGUGUACCUUGGCCCCGGGAACCCCAUGUGGCUUCAG